Molecule: long non-coding RNA, 221 nt
Filed under: Elaeis guineensis (African oil palm)
Lineage: Eukaryota; Viridiplantae; Streptophyta; Magnoliopsida; Arecales; Arecaceae
Description: long non-coding RNA (EGUI_LNC006400)
Source: RNAcentral
CAGCAGAUUGGACUAUCUAGUAGCUACUUUUUGUAGCCAUCUUUGUUGGGACAGCGAAAUGGCUCUAAUCCUUUGCUAUUCGUGGCUUGGAGACCUCCACAUGUUCAACCAACCAUAAAUAUAUGAGAUAAAAUUGCCCUCCUUGCAAUGCCAAAAGCCAGAAAAUUGCCCUCCUCGCAAUGCUAAAAGCCAGAUAAAUUUGGAAGUAUACGGUGAAGGCU